UAAAAAACUAUCACGGAGAGUUUGAUUCUGGCUCAGGAUGAACGCUGGCGGUAUGCUUAACACAUGCAAGUUGAACGAAGAUAAUAAUUCUUGAAUUAUAAUACUUAGUAGCGGACGGGUGAGUAACGCGUAAGAAUCUACCUUUAGGAAAAGAAUAACAACUGGAAACGGUUGCUAAUACUUUAUAUGCUGAGAAGUUAAAUAGGUUACUGCCUAAAGAUGAGCUUGCGUCUGAUUAGCUAGUUGGUAAGGUAAAAGCUUACCAAGGCAAUUAUCAGUAGUUGGUCUGAGAGGAUGAUCAGCCACACUGGGACUGAGACACGGCCCAGACUCCUACGGGAGGCAGCAGUGAGGAAUUUUUCGCAAUGGGCGCAAGCCUGACGAAGCAAUACCGCGUGAAGGAUGAAGGCCUGCGGGUUGUAAACUUCUUUUAUUAGAGAAGAUAAUGACGGUAUCUAAUGAAUAAGCAUCGGCUAAAUAUGUGCCAGCAGCCGCGGUAAUACAUAUGAUGCAAGCGUUAUCCGGAAUGAUUGGGCGUAAAGCGUCUGUAGGUUGUUUAAAAAGUCAACUGUCAAAAACUAAGGCUCAACUUUAGGCAGGCAGUUGAAACUUUUAGACUAGAGUAUGGCAGAGGUAGAGGGAAUUACUGGUGUAACGGUGAAAUGUGCAGAUAUCAGUAAGAACACCAAUGGCGAAAGCACUCUACUGGACCAAAACUGACACUCAGAGACGAAAGCUAGGGGAGCGAAUAGGAUUAGAUACCCUAGUAGUCCUAGCUGUAAACGAUGGAAACUAAAUAUUGCGUUUUAAAAAUGCAGUAUUGUAGCUAACGCGUUAAGUUUCCCGCCUGGGGAGUAUGCUCGCAAGAGUGAAACUCAAAGAAAUUGACGGGGGCCCGCACAAGCGGUGGAGCAUGUGGUUUAAUUCGAUGCAACGCGAAGAACCUUACCGGGGUUUGACAUACUAUGCAUUUUUUGGAGACGAAAAAGUCUAAACAUAGAUACAGGUGGUGCAUGGCUGUCGUCAGCUCGUGUCGUGAGACGUAGGGUUAAGUCCUGUAACGAGCGCAACCCUUAUUGUUAGUUGCUUUUAGGAAACUAGCAAGACUGCCAGUGAUAAGCUGGAGGAAGGUGAGGAUGACGUCAAGUCAGCAUGCCCCUUAAAUCCCGGGCUACACACGUGCUACAAUGGUUAAGACAAAGAGAUGCUAACUUGUGAAAGUACAGCCAACCUCAAAAACUUAAUCUCAGUUCGGAUUGUAGGCUGCAACUCGCCUACAUGAAGCCGGAAUCGCUAGUAAUCGCAGGUCAGCUAUACUGCGGUGAAUACGUUCCCGGGCCUUGUACACACCGCCCGUCACACCAUCGGAGCUGACUAGGCCCGAAACCGUUGUAAACGUCUAAGGCACAGUUAGUGACGAGGGUGAAGUCGUAACAAGGUAGGGCUACUGGAAGGUGGCCCUGGAUCACCUCCUUC
RNAcentral lists this ribosomal RNA (1476 nucleotides) under Ulva linza. RNAcentral's name for it is "small subunit ribosomal RNA". It matches the Rfam family "Bacterial small subunit ribosomal RNA". The record is from RNAcentral. RNAcentral also lists the same sequence under 1 other name. Lineage: Eukaryota; Viridiplantae; Chlorophyta; Ulvophyceae; Ulvales; Ulvaceae.